This 528-nucleotide ribosomal RNA is filed under the name uncultured Pseudomonadota bacterium. RNAcentral describes it as "bacterial SSU rRNA". It matches the Rfam family "Bacterial small subunit ribosomal RNA", at positions 378 to 896 of the family's 1533-position model. Lineage: Bacteria; Pseudomonadati; Pseudomonadota. The record is from RNAcentral.
AAACCCUGACGCAGCGACGCCGCGUGGGUGAUGAAGGCCUUCGGGUCGUAAAGCCCUGUCGUCGGGGAAGAAACGGUGGGCGGCUAAUACCUGUCCGCCUUGACGGUACCCUACAAGAAAGCACCGGCUAACUCCGUGCCAGCAGCCGCGGUAAUACGGAGGGUGCGAGCGUUGUUCGGAAUUACUGGGCGUAAAGCGCGUGCAGGCGGCCGACUAAGUCCGGUGUGAAAGCCCGGGGCUCACCUCCGGAAGUGCGCUGGAAACUGGUUGGCUAGAGUACGGGAGAGGGAAGUGGAAUUCCUGGUGUAGCGGUGAAAUGCGUAGAUAUCAGGAGGAACGCCGGCGGCGAAGGCGGCUUCCUGGACCGAUACUGACGCUGAGACGCGAAAGCGUGGGGAGCAAACAGGAUUAGAUACCCUGGUAGUCCACGCUGUAAACGAUGGGUACUAGGUGUCGCGGGUGUUGACCCCUGCGGUGCCGCAGCUAACGCAUUAAGUACCCCGCCUGGGGAUUACGGUCGCAAGAUUA